AAAGUCGUAACAAGGUCUCCGUAGGUGAACCUGCGGAGGGAUCAUUACAAGUGACCCCGGUUUUACCACCGGGAUGUUCAUAACCCUUUGUUGUCUGACUCUGUUGCCUCCGGGGCGACCCUGCCUUCGGGCGGGGGCUCCGGGUGGACACUUCAAACUCUUGCGUAACUUUGCAGUCUGAGUAAAUUAAUUAAUAAAUUAAAACUUUUAACAACGGAUCUCUUGGUUCUG
RNAcentral lists this unclassified non-coding RNA (231 nucleotides) under Cladosporium flabelliforme. Its description in RNAcentral is "partial internal transcribed spacer region". The stretch from base 1 to 47 matches the Rfam family "Eukaryotic small subunit ribosomal RNA", at positions 1785 to 1831 of the family's 1831-position model. Lineage: Eukaryota; Fungi; Ascomycota; Dothideomycetes; Cladosporiales; Cladosporiaceae. The record is from RNAcentral.